UCCGUAGGAUGCCAGCGUUGUCCGGAUUUACUGGGCGUAAAGCGCGCGCAGGCGGCACUGUAAGUCAGGUGUGAAAUAUCCCUGCUCAACGGGGAGGGUGCACUUUAGACUGCAGAGCUAGAGGACGGUAGAGGGGGGUGGAAUUGCUGGUGUAGCGGUGAAAUGCGUAGAGAUCAGCAGGAACACCCGUGGCGAAGGCGGCCCCCUGGGCCGAACCUGACGCUGAGGCGCGAAGGCUAGGGGAGCGAACGGG
Molecule: ribosomal RNA, 253 nt
Filed under: uncultured bacterium
Lineage: Bacteria
Description: partial 16S ribosomal RNA
Rfam family: Bacterial small subunit ribosomal RNA
Source: RNAcentral